Molecule: long non-coding RNA, 291 nt
Filed under: Physcomitrium patens
Lineage: Eukaryota; Viridiplantae; Streptophyta; Bryopsida; Funariales; Funariaceae
Description: long non-coding RNA (PPAT_LNC005086)
Source: RNAcentral
CCCGGUAGAUGUAAACGGUAUGAAACUGGAUUGAUUUGUGUAGAAAUAGAAAAUGGUCCAAGUCUUCGAUAGUCCAACUUGUCACAAGGACGAGUGGUCUUGAUAUUACGACGAAGUAGCCAUACCUUAUCAUCCAAGAGGAAUGGUGGUUGUUCCUUUCGAUAGACAUCUACAUUGACCUUUUGUUGUUCUUGAGCCUCUUUUAACUGCGCCUUCAUCGUUGCAUGUAGCUUUGAUAAAUGAAUCACUAAAUCUUUCGCAGCAGGAUUAUCAACUUUUGAAAAGUCAAAA